This 253-nucleotide ribosomal RNA is filed under the name uncultured bacterium. Its description in RNAcentral is "partial 16S ribosomal RNA". It matches the Rfam family "Bacterial small subunit ribosomal RNA", at positions 524 to 776 of the family's 1533-position model. The record is from RNAcentral.
GACGAACCGUGCGAACGUUAUUCGGAAUCACUGGGCUUAAAGGGCGCGUAGGCGGGUCCGCAAGUCAGGGGUGAAAUCCCACGGCCCAACCGUGGAAGUGCCUCUGAUACUGCGGGCCUCGAGGGGGGUAGGGGCGUGCGGAACUCAGGGUGGAGCGGUGAAAUGCGUAGAUAUCUGGAGGAAUACCGGUGGCGAAGGCGGCAUCCUGGACCGACAUUGACGCUGAACGGCGAAAGCUAGGGGAGCAAACGGG